This 330-nucleotide ribosomal RNA is filed under the name uncultured Lewinella sp. RNAcentral describes it as "bacterial SSU rRNA". It matches the Rfam family "Bacterial small subunit ribosomal RNA", at positions 568 to 898 of the family's 1533-position model. Lineage: Bacteria; Pseudomonadati; Bacteroidota; Saprospiria; Saprospirales; Lewinellaceae. The record is from RNAcentral.
UGCGUAGGCGGUUAUGUAAGUCAGCAAGUGAAAUUCCACAGCUUAACUGUAGGGACUGCUUUUGAUACUGCAUGACUUGAACCAAGAUGAGGUAGGCGGAAUGUGGCAUGUAGCGGUGAAAUGCAUAGAUAUGCCAUAGAACACCGAUUGCGAAGGCAGCUUACUAGACUUGAGUUGACGCUGAGGCACGAAAGCGUGGGGAGCGAACAGGAUUAGAUACCCUGGUAGUCCACGCCCUAAACGAUGCUAACUCGACGUGUGGGAGAGAUCUUGCGCGUCCAAGCGAAAGCGAUAAGUUAGCCACCUGGGGAGUACGUUCGCAAGAAUGAA